Molecule: long non-coding RNA, 238 nt
Organism: Arachis stenosperma
Lineage: Eukaryota; Viridiplantae; Streptophyta; Magnoliopsida; Fabales; Fabaceae
Exons: 3
Source: RefSeq, a predicted model, not a curated record
GGUACCUAGAUCAUUUGAUUGUGGAAUGAAAAUAUGGUAAAGCAGCUUCUCUAUGUCCCAAUUUGCUGCGAGGAUCAGCUUCAGCAUGGGAGAGAUGGGUAUUUCACUUUGCCCACCUCCGUCAACUUCCUGUUUUGGUUCCUUACAUGCCAACAGAAAACCCUAGACUACGUGAUACUGCUUAUGAGGUUGCCCUUGUGGCAUUGGCUACAAAUCCAUCUUAUCAUAAGGAUCUCUU